UACGUAGGGGGCGAGCGUCGUCCGGAUUCAUUGGGCGUAAAGAGCUCGUAGGCGGCUUGGCAAGUCGGAUGUGAAAACUCCAGGCUCAACCUGGAGCCGCCAUUCGAUACUGCUAUGGCUAGAGUCCGGUAGGGGAGUGUGGAAUUCCCGGUGUAGCGGUGAAAUGCGCAGAUAUCGGGAGGAACACCGAUGGCGAAGGCAGCACUCUGGGCCGGUACUGACGCUGAGGAGCGAAAGCGUGGGGAGCGAACAGG
Molecule: ribosomal RNA, 254 nt
Filed under: uncultured bacterium
Lineage: Bacteria
Description: partial 16S ribosomal RNA
Rfam family: Bacterial small subunit ribosomal RNA
Source: RNAcentral